This 460-nucleotide ribosomal RNA is filed under the name uncultured bacterium. Its description in RNAcentral is "partial 16S ribosomal RNA". It matches the Rfam family "Bacterial small subunit ribosomal RNA", at positions 338 to 795 of the family's 1533-position model. The record is from RNAcentral.
CCUACGGGGGGCUGCAGUGAGGAAUAUUGGUCAAUGGACGAGAGUCUGAACCAGCCAAGUAGCGUGAAGGAUGACUGCCCUAUGGGUUGUAAACUUCUUUUAUAUGGAAAUAAAAUGUUCCACGUGUGGGAUUUUGUAUGUACCAUAUGAAUAAGGAUCGGCUAACUCCGUGCCAGCAGCCGCGGUAAUACGGCGGAUCCGAGCGUUAUCCGGAUUUAUUGGGUUUAAAGGGAGCGUAGGUGGAUUGUUAAGUCAGUUGUGAAAGUUUGCGGCUCAACCGUAAAAUUGCAGUUGAAACUGGCAGUCUUGAGUACAGUAGAGGUGGGCGGAAUUCGUGGUGUAGCGGUGAAAUGCUUAGAUAUCACGAAGAACUCCGAUUGCGAAGGCAGUUCACUGGACUGCAACUGACACUGAGGCUCGAAAGUGUGGGUAUCAAACAGGAUUAGAUACCCUUGUAGUC